RNAcentral lists this long non-coding RNA (314 nucleotides) under Mytilus galloprovincialis (Mediterranean mussel). Lineage: Eukaryota; Metazoa; Mollusca; Bivalvia; Mytilida; Mytilidae. The record is from RNAcentral.
UUACAUAAUGUAUUCGAUAAAAAAAAUUGUGACAUGACCCAUUUACUGUACCGUGACCUUGCAGAGAGCGUGUGACUUUCUCUUCACCAUACAUUGGAUUUAACGGCUGUACAUUAAACCUCCUGCAACUGACGCAAGGGGUUUAUUCUGGACUUCGGACGGGAAAAACCCAGGGAUUACAAUAUCUGCAUUAUACGCAAGUUAGCUAUUUGGGUUCGACACGGAAGAAACAUAACUGUUUGAUAUUAAUCCAAUAACAAAUGUGUGCUCAAAGUUUAAUUGUUUUAAGUAUUCUUACUAGUGUUGAAUUUACU